UUAAACUAUGUGAACUUGCUGUAAAUAUGGACAGAAAGCAAUAUGUGGGCUUUAGGUGGGGUAUACGGUGAGAAUGGAAUGCCCAUGAAGGACCCACACACAGUU
Diospyros lotus (date-plum) is the source of this 105-nucleotide small nucleolar RNA. The record is from RefSeq and is a predicted model, not a curated record. NCBI's taxonomy places the organism in Eukaryota, Viridiplantae, Streptophyta, Magnoliopsida, Ericales, Ebenaceae.